ACAAGCUUUCGGGAGAACCUCCCUUUCUCAAGUCUGAAGCAUUCUUGAGAAAGGGAGGUUCUCCCGAAAGCUUG
RNAcentral lists this microRNA precursor (74 nucleotides) under Pelobates cultripes (western spadefoot toad). Lineage: Eukaryota; Metazoa; Chordata; Amphibia; Anura; Pelobatidae. The record is from RNAcentral.